CGGGUCGUAGGGUGAGCUUGAGGUGCUCGCGCGAGGCGUCGGGGCGCAGGUUCAAAUCCUGUCGUCCCGA
This 70-nucleotide transfer RNA is filed under the name Streptomyces poriferorum. Its description in RNAcentral is "tRNA-OTHER". Lineage: Bacteria; Bacillati; Actinomycetota; Actinomycetes; Kitasatosporales; Streptomycetaceae. RNAcentral also lists the same sequence under 2 other names. The record is from RNAcentral.